RNAcentral lists this ribosomal RNA (449 nucleotides) under uncultured bacterium. RNAcentral describes it as "bacterial SSU rRNA". It matches the Rfam family "Bacterial small subunit ribosomal RNA", at positions 29 to 526 of the family's 1533-position model. The record is from RNAcentral.
AGCGAACGCUGGCGGCAGGCCUAACACAUGCAAGUCGAGCGCCCAGCAAUGGGAGCGGCAGACGGGUGAGUAACACGUGGGGAUGUGCCCAAUGGUACGGAAUAGCUCCGGGAAACUGGAAUUAAUACCGUAUGUGCCCUUCGGGGAAAGAUUUAUCGCCAUUGGAUCAACCCGCGUCUGAUUAGCUAGUUGGUGAGGUAAAGGCGCACCAAGGCGACGAUCAGUAGCUGGUCUGAGAGGAUGAUCAGCCACACUGGGACUGAGACACGGCCCAGACUCCUACGGGAGGCAGCAGUGGGGAAUAUUGGACAAUGGGCGCAAGCCUGAUCCAGCCAUGCCGCGUGUGUGAUGAAGGCCUUAGGGUUGUAAAGCACUUUCGCCGGUGAAGAUAAUGACGGUAACCGGAGAAGAAGCCCCGGCUAACUUCGUGCCAGCAGCCGCCGUAACAC